This 641-nucleotide ribosomal RNA is filed under the name Modestobacter sp. I12A-02613. RNAcentral describes it as "bacterial SSU rRNA". It matches the Rfam family "Bacterial small subunit ribosomal RNA", at positions 92 to 746 of the family's 1533-position model. Lineage: Bacteria; Bacillati; Actinomycetota; Actinomycetes; Geodermatophilales; Geodermatophilaceae. The record is from RNAcentral.
CUAGCGGCGAACGGGUGAGUAACACGUGGGCAACCUGCCCUCAGCUCUGGGAUAACUCCGGGAAAUCGGAGCUAAUACUGGAUAUGACUGCUGACCGCAUGGUCUGGUGGUGGAAAGAUUUAUCGGCUGAGGAUGGGCCCGCGGCCUAUCAGCUUGUUGGUGGGGUCACGGCCCACCAAGGCGACGACGGGUAGCCGGCCUGAGAGGGUGACCGGCCACACUGGGACUGAGACACGGCCCAGACUCCUACGGGAGGCAGCAGUGGGGAAUAUUGCGCAAUGGGCGAAAGCCUGACGCAGCGACGCCGCGUGGGGGAUGACGGCCUUCGGGUUGUAAACCUCUUUCACCCACGACGAAGCGCAAGUGACGGUAGUGGGAGAAGAAGCACCGGCCAACUACGUGCCAGCAGCCGCGGUAAUACGUAGGGUGCAAGCGUUGUCCGGAAUUAUUGGGCGUAAAGAGCUCGUAGGCGGUCUGUCGCGUCGGCUGUGAAAACCCGAGGCUCAACCUCGGGCCUGCAGUCGAUACGGGCAAACUUGAGUGUUGCAGGGGAGACUGGAAUUCCUGGUGUAGCGGUGAAAUGCGCAGAUAUCAGGAGGAACACCGGUGGCGAAGGCGGGUCUCUGGGCAACAACUGACGC